This 388-nucleotide unclassified non-coding RNA is filed under the name Hevea brasiliensis (rubber tree). Lineage: Eukaryota; Viridiplantae; Streptophyta; Magnoliopsida; Malpighiales; Euphorbiaceae. The record is from RNAcentral.
GGCGAACAGAAGCUCCUCUGUGACAGAAUUUGGCAUACAUAAGGAGAAUAAAGGUUAGAAAAAACAUGACACACAGAACUCCUAUAACAAUGGCCAGGCUGGGUUGAAAAUUUGAGACACCAUCUUGUGAAGAUCCUUCAUCUCCAACAGAGUUAAAUUGUGCUUCAACAGGGAAGAAUACAAAAAGGAGAUUCAGAAAUAGCAAACUUAAUAGAUUCAUCAGAAAAAUCAAGGCCUUGAAACUUGCCAGGAUUUCAAUAUUCUGCAGAAAGCAUUCUGCCAGAAAGAAAGAAAAUAUGUAUCUUGUGUUUGCAAAACUCUAUCAAGGUCAAAAUGGGGGGUGGUUUGAGAUAGGAUUUGUUAUGCAUAUGACCCUUUUUAAUAUGUC